This 373-nucleotide ribosomal RNA is filed under the name uncultured Glomeromycotina. RNAcentral describes it as "LSU rRNA". The record is from RNAcentral. Lineage: Eukaryota; Fungi; Glomeromycota.
UUGAAAGGGAAACGAUUGAAGUCAGUCGUACCAGCGGGAAAUCAACCUUUCGAGUGGGGUUUUGGAGUUUUUUGAAGAGUGUCAAAACCUUUAUUUCAAAAUAUUCGCUCUUUUGGUGUACUUUCUCGUGGGUAGGUUAACAUCGAUUUUGAUCAUCAUAAAAAGAUUGGAGGAAUGUAGCUUCGAUCUUGUAUUGAAGUGUUAUAGUCUUUGGUAAAUGUGAUGAUUAGGAUCGAGGAUUGCAACGAAUACCCUUUUGGGCUAUCCGCCUGAUCUCUGAUACGUGGCCUUGGUAUCGAAAGCGUGCUUAUGGUAUUGAGGUAUUACGGUCAAAAGGUUAGAACGGAUUACAUUCGUUAAGGAUGUUGACGUA